CAUAGAUAAAGAAGACUGGUUUCGCAUGUCCUAUCCUUUUAGCCCUAUCCCUACUGACCCCGAGUUUCUGUUUUGCUUGUCCUGCCCCUAGCGGAUAAACUGCUGUACUGCACCGUGGCUACCAAGGGUGUUGCAGACGAAAGUUGUUUUCCUUCUGUCUUGGUAAAAUUCUUUGCUGGCGUUUAAAAGUUCUAGAGAAAUCAAUUGAAUGAUUGCAAUGGAAUAGAUGUAAGCAGAGUGUAGAGAACAAAACGUACACUAGAGGGCAGGACAAGCAAAACAGAAUCGGGAAAAUCGGAGGAAGGGUAGCAAGAAUUCUGGCGACAGUUGGCCAUGUUAAUUUUCUUAUGGACAGCAUCAACCAGUGGUCUUUGUCUAUG
This 380-nucleotide long non-coding RNA is filed under the name Daphnia pulex (common water flea). RNAcentral's name for it is "uncharacterized LOC124205409". Lineage: Eukaryota; Metazoa; Arthropoda; Branchiopoda; Diplostraca; Daphniidae. The record is from RNAcentral.